Molecule: transfer RNA, 73 nt
Filed under: Halostella sp. JP-L12
Lineage: Archaea; Methanobacteriati; Methanobacteriota; Halobacteria; Halobacteriales; Natronoarchaeaceae
Rfam family: tRNA
About the family: Transfer RNA (tRNA) molecules are approximately 80 nucleotides in length.
Source: Rfam by way of RNAcentral
GGGAUCGUGGGGUAGCUUGGUAUCCUUUUGCGUUUGGGACGCAAUAACCCCGGUUCGAAUCCGGGCGAUCCCA